CUUCAUCUGUUGUAAAUGUCGUUUCCGUGUCAAGUAUAAUUUUCUACUGUGUGAUUUUGUGCAUGUUUUAUAAUUGUGCAUUUCACAUGUAGGUCAAUAAUCCAUUUUGAGUUAAUUUUUAUAAAGUUGGAAGGUCUGAGUCUAGAUUCGUUUUGUUUGUGUCAGUUCCCCCCAUGGAUUUCAAAUCAUUUCAGCAGCAUUUGUUGAAAAGGUCACCUUUCUUCAUUUAAUUGUCUUUUACCUUCUUGUCAAAGAUCAGUUAACUCUAUUAGUGAGGAUUUAAUUCUGGGCUAUCUUUUCUGUUCUAUUGAAGAGUAAUUAGAAGCAAACAUUUAAUACUUAAGUGUGUACCCAUUAUUUCACCAAUUAUUUGACCAUCUAUCGACCAAUUAUUUCACCAGUACCACACUGGGUUGACAGUAAGGCAUGAAGCUGGGUAUUGUCAGCUCUUCUACUUUGAUCUUCUGUUUUGUGUUUGCUAUCCUGGGUCUUUUAACUUGCAAUAUGAGCUCUGUCACUCUGUCAAUAUCACUCUGUCAAUAUGAGAAAAAAAUCACUUGCUGGAACUUCAAACAGGAUUGAAUUGAACCUUUUUGUAGUUAGGAAGAAUUGGCAUCCUAAUAUCAUUAAGUCUUAUCUAUGAACAUGGAAUAUGUCUCCAUAAACAGUCAUAUGUCACUUAGGGAUGGGGAAAAGUCCUGAGAAAUGUGUCUUUAGGCAUUUCUUUUUAAAUUGUGUGAACAUCAUAGAACACGCAUUGACAAACCAGGACACUUGUGAUGUUACCAGGGGUUAUAAUCUUACAGGUCCACCAUUAUACAUAGGGUCUGCCAUUGAUUGAAAGGUCUUUAUGCGGUGUUUGACUGUGCUAACCUCUGUACUUUCUUUCAUCAGAGUUUUGAAGUUUACCUCAUAUAGAUCCUACAUGUUUCCCAGAUUAUAUCUAAGUCUUUUAUGUGGGGGUAUUACUAUAAGUGGUACUUUUUAAAUUGCAAGUUUCUUUGCUAAUGUAGAGGAAAGCAGCUGACUUGUGUAGAUUAACUUGCAAUGCUUCAGUCUGAACUAUAAUAGUUUACUAAUCCCAGGAGUUUUAGUUUUAUUUUUCAAUUCCUUGGGAUUUUUUUCUACGUAGAUGUUUAUGUGAAACACAGAUAAUAUUGUCUUAUUUCUCCCUUCCCAAACUGUGUACUUCCUUUUUUUGACCUGUUGCAUUAGCUGGGACAUCUAGUGAGGCUGAAGAAGAAUUCUGACAGGAAAUACAUUUGCCUUGUUGAUCCUCCUGUGGAGAUGGAAUCUGGUUCCUUGUUAUCAAGUGUGAAGCUAGCUGUAGAUGGUUUGUAGGUAUUCUUUAAUAAGUUCAGGAAUUUCUACUCUAUUUCUAGUUUGUUGGAAAUUUUAAAAUACAAAUCAUAAAUAGACAUUGAAUUGUCUUAAUGGCUUUUCUGUUUUGAUUAAUAAGAUCAUAUGAUUUUUUUUCUUCAGUAGUCUCCUGAUAUGAUAGAUGACAUUGAUUGAUCUGUGAGUAUUGAAUCAGCUUGGUAUUCCUGAAAUAAAUUCUGCUUGGUCUUGGUAUAUGAUUCCUUUUUUAUACUGUUGAAUUCAAUUUACCAAUAUUUUUCUCAGUUUAUAUGUGUUUGUUGCUGUAACAUUUUGUUUUGAACAUCACAAAUGCACCAGAUGAGCCAUUCAUCUUAAGACAUCUGUACCAUAACUAAAAAGCACUGUACUGAUGUUUACA
Molecule: long non-coding RNA, 1738 nt
Filed under: Marmota monax (woodchuck)
Lineage: Eukaryota; Metazoa; Chordata; Mammalia; Rodentia; Sciuridae
Source: RNAcentral